RNAcentral lists this long non-coding RNA (4984 nucleotides) under Brassica napus (rape). RNAcentral's name for it is "long non-coding RNA (BNAP_LNC008483)". The record is from RNAcentral. Lineage: Eukaryota; Viridiplantae; Streptophyta; Magnoliopsida; Brassicales; Brassicaceae.
GGAUCACCUGAUUUGAAAGUGGGAUAGCUUCUUCAUCCUAACUCCUAUGAGAUUUAUUCAACUUCCUAGUGAUUCUCCAUUACUUUAUGUAUCAAAAUCAAGCUUCUUACAUCGCGAUUCAUCCUGGUUCGAUUAGAAUGACAAGGAAGCUGUUAUAUUCCCAAACAGGAAAACUGGGAUCACAUGAUUUGAAAGUGGGAUAGCUUCUUCAUCCUAACUCCUAUGAGAUUUAUUCAACUUCCUAGUGAUUCUCCAUUACUUUAUGUAUCAAAAUCAAGCUUCUUACAUCACGAUUCAUCCUGGUUUGAUUUGAAUAACAAGGAAGCUGUCAUAUUCCCAAACAGGAAAACUGGGAUCACCUGAUUUGAAAGUGGGAUAGCUUCUUCAUCCUAACUCCUAUGAGAUUUAUUCAACUUCCUAAUGGUUCUCCACUACUUUAUGUAUCCAUUUAAAGCUUCUUACAUCACGAUUCAUCCUGGUUUGAUUAGAAUGACAAAGAAGCUGUCAUAUUCCCAAACAGAAAAACUGGGAUCACCUGAUUUGAAAGUGGGAUAGCUUCUUCAUCCUAACUCCUAUGAGAUUUAUUCAACUUCCUAAUGGUUCUCCACUACUUUAUGUAUCAAAAUCAAGCUUCUUACAUCAAGAUUCAUCCUUGUUUGAUUAGAAUGACAAAGAAGCUAUCAUAUUCCCAAACAGGAAAACUGGGAUCACCUGAUUUGAAAGUGGGAUUGCUUCUUCAUCCUAACUCCUAUGAGAUUUAUUCAACUUCCUAGUGAUUCUCGAUUACUUUAUAUAUCAAAAUCUAGCUUCUUACAUCGCGAUUCAUCCUGGUUUGAUUAGAAUGACAAAGAAGAUGUUAUAUUCCCAAACAGGAAAAACUGGGAUCACCUGAUUUGAAAGUGGGAUAGCUUCUUCAUCAUAACUCCUAUGAGAUUUAUUCAACUUCCUAGUGAUUCUCCAUUACUUUAUAUAUCAAAAUCAAGCUUCUUAGAUCGCGGUUCAUCCUGGUUUGAUUAGAAUGACAAAGAAGCUGUCAUAUUCCCAAACAGGAAAAACUGGCAUCACUUGAUUUGAAAGUGGGACAGCUUCUUCAUCAUAACUCCUAUGCGAUUUAUUCAACUUCCUAGUUAUUCUCUAUUACUUUAUGUAUCAAAAUCAAGCUUCUUAGAUCGCGAUUCAUCCUGGUUUGAUUAGAAUGAAAAGGAGCUGUCAUAUUCCCAAACAGGAAAACUAGCAUCACUUGAUUUGAAAGUGGGAUAGCUUUUUCAUCCUAACUCCUAUGAGAUUUAUUCAACUUCCUAGUGAAUCUCCAUUACUUUAUGUAUCAAAAUCAAGCUUCUUACAUCGCGAUUCAUCCUCGUUUGAUUAGAAUAACAAGGAAGCUGUCAUAUUCCCAAACAGGAAAACCGGGAUCACCUGAUUUGAAAGUGGGAUAGCUUCUUCAUCGUAACUUUUAUGUGAUUUAUUCAACUUCCUAGUGAUUCUCCAUUACUUUAUGUACAAAAUCAAGCUUCUUACGUCACGAUUCAUCCUGGUCUGAUUAGAAUGACAAAGAAGCUGUCAUAUUCCCAAACAGGAAAAUUGGGAUCACCUGAUCUGAAAGUGGGACAGCUUCUUCAUCCUAACUCCUAUGAGAUUUAUUCAACUUCAUAGUGAUUCUCCAUUACUUUAUGUAUCAAAAUCAAGAUUCUUACAUCGCGAUUCAUCCUGGUUCUAUUAGAAUGACACAGGAAGUUGUUAUAUUCCCAAACAGGAAAACUGGGAUCACCUGAUUUGAAAGUGGGAUAGCUUCUUCAUCCUAAUUCCUAUGAGAUUUAUUCAACUUCCAAGUGAUUCUCCAUUACUUUAUGUAUCAAAAUCAAGCUUCUUACAUCGCGAUUCAUCCUGGUUUGAUUAGAAUGACAAAGAAGCUGUCAUAUUCCCAAACAGGAAAACUGGGAUCACCUGAUUUGAAAGUGGGAUAGCUUCUUCAUCCUAACUCCUAUGAGAUUUAUUGAACUUCCUAGUGAUUCUCCAUUACUUUAUAUAUCAAAAUCAAGCUUCUUACAUCGCGAUUCAUCCUGGUUCUAUUAGAAUGACAAGGAAACUGUUAUAUUCCGAAACAGGAAAACUGGGAUCACCUGAUUUGAAAGUGGGAUAGCUUCUUCAUCCUAACUCCUAUGAGAUUUAUUCAACUUCCUAAUGGUUCUCCACUACUUUAUAUAUCAAAAUCAAGCUUCUUACAUCGCAAUUCAUCCUGGUUCUAUUAGAAUGACAAAGAAGCUGUCAUAUUCCCAAACAGGAAAAGUGGGAUCACCUGAUUUGAAAAUUGGAUAGCUUCUUCAUCCUAACUCCUAUGAGAUUUAUUCAACUUCCUAGUGAUUCUCCAUUACUUUAUGUAUCAAAAUCAAGAUUCUUACAUCGCGAUUCAUCCUGGUUCUAUUAGAAUGAAAGAUUCUUACAUCUCGAUUCAUUCUGGUUUGAUUAGAAUGACAAAGAAGCUGUCAUAUUCCCAAACAAAAAAUUUGGGAUCACCUGAUUUGAAAGUGGGACAGCUUCUUCAUCCUAACUCCUAUGAGAUUUAUUCAACUUCCUAGUGAUUCUCCAUUACUUUAUGUAUCAAAAUCAAGAUUCUUACAUCGCGAUCCAUUCUGGUUCUAUUAGAAUUACAAGGAAGCUGUUAUAUUCCCAAACAGGAAAACUGAGAUCACCUGAUUUGAAAGUGGGAUAGCUUCUUCAUCCUAACUAUUAUGAGAUUUAUUCAACUUCCUAGUCAUUCUCCAUUACUUUAUGUAUCAAAAUCAAGCUUCUUACAUCGCGAUUCAUCCUGGUUCUAUUAGAAUGACAAGGAAGCUGUUAUAUUCCCAAAUAGGAAAACUGAGAUCACCUGAUUUGAAAGUGGGAUAGCUUCUUCAUCCUAACUCCUAUGAGAUUUAUUCAACUUCCUAGUGAUUCACCAUUACUUUAUGUACCAAAAUUAAGCUUCUUACAUUGCGAUUCAUCCUGGUUUGAUUAGAAUGACAAAGAAGCUGUCAUAUUCCCAAACAGGAAAAUUGGGAUCACCUGAUUUGAAAGUGGGACAGCUUCUUCAUCCUAACUCCUUUUAGAUUUAUUCAACUUCCCAGUGAUCCUCCAUUACUUUAUGUAUAAAAAUCAAGCUUCUUACAUCGCGAUUCAUCCUGGUUCUAUUAGAAUGACAAGGAAGCUGUUAUAUUCCCAAACAGGAAAACUGGGAUCACCUGAUUUGAAAGUGGGAUAACUUCUUCAUCCUAACUCCUAUGAGAUUUAUUCAACUUCCUAGUAAUUCCCCAUUACUUUAUAAAUCAAAAUCAAGCUUCUUACAUCGCGAUUCAUCCUGGUUUGAUUAGAAUGACAAAGAAGCUGUCAUAUUCCCAAACAGGAAAACUGGGAUCACCUGAUUUGAAAGUGGGAUAGCUUCUUCAUCCUAACUCCUAUGAGAUUUAUUCAGCUUCCUGAUGAUUCUCCACUACUUUAUGUAUCAAAAUCAAGCUUCUUACAUCGCGAUUCAUCCUGGUUCUAUUAGAAUGACAAGGAAACUGUUAUAUUCCCAAACAGGAAAACUGGGAUCACCUGAUUUGAAAGUGGGAUAGCUUCUAUAUCCUAACUCCUAUGAAAUUUAUUGAACUUCCUAGUGAUUCUCCAUUACUUUAUAUAUCAAAAUCAAGCUUCUUACAUCGCGAUUCAUCCUGGUUUGAUUAGAAUGACAAAGAAGCUGUCAUAUUCCCAAACAGGAAAAUUGGGAUCACCUGAUUUGAAAGUGGGACAGCUUCUUCAUCCUAACUCCUAUGAGAUUUAUUCAACUUCCUAGUGACUCUCCAUUACUUUAUGUAUCCAAAUCAAGCUUCUUACAUCGCGAUUCAUCCUGGUUUGAUUAGAAUGACAAAGAAGCUGUCAUAUUCCUAAACAGGAAAACUGGGAUCACCUGAUUUGAAAGUGGGAUAGCUUCUUCAUCCUAACUCCUAUGAGAUUUAUUCAACUUCCUAGUGAUUCUCCAUUACAUUAUGUAUCCAAAUCAAACUUCUUACAUCGCGAUUCAUCCUGGUUUGAUUAGAAUGACAAAGAAGCUGUCAUAUUCCCAAACAGAAAAACUGGGAUCACUUGAUUUGAAAGAGGGAUUGCUUCUUCAUCCUAACUCCUAUGAGAUUUAUUCAACUUCCUAGUGAUUCUUCAUUACUUUAUAUAUCAAAAUCAAGCUUCUUACAUCGCGAUUCAUCCUGGUUUGAUUAGAAUGACAAAGAAGAUGUCAUAUUCGCAAACAGGAAAACUGGGAUCACCUGAUUUGAAAGUGGGAUAGCUUCUUCAUCAUAACUCCUAUGAGAUUUAUUCAACUUCCUAGUGAUUCUCCAUUACUUUAUAUAUCAAAAUCAAGCUUAUUACAUCGCGAUUCAUCCCGGUUUGAUUAAAAUGACAAAGAAGCUGUCAUAUUCCCAAACAGGAAAAUUGGGAUCACCUGAUUUGAAAGUGGGACAGCUUCUUCAUCCUAACUCCUAUGCGAUUUAUUCAACUUCCUAGUUAUUCUCCAUUACUUUAUGUAUCAAAAUCAAGCUUCUUAGAUCUGGAUUCAUCCUGGUUUGAUUAGAAUGACAAGGAAGCUGUCAUAUUCCCAAACAGGAAAACUGGCAUCACCUGAUUUGAAAGUGGGAUAGCUUUUUCAUCCUAACUCCUAUGAGAGUUAUUCAACUUCCUAGUGAUUCUCCAUUACUUUAUGUAUCCAAAUCAAACUUCUUACAUCGCGAUUCAUUCUGGUUCGAUUAGAAUGACAAAGAAGCUGUCAUAUUCCUAAACAGAAAAACUGGGAUCACUUGAUUUGAAAGUGGGAUAGCUUCUUCAUCCUAACUCCUAUGAGAUUUAUUUAACUUCCUAGUGAUUCUCCAUUACUUUAUGUGUCAAAAUCAAGCUUCUUACAUCUCGAUUCAUCUUGGUUUGAUUAGAAUGACAAGGAAGCUGUCAUAUUCCCAAACAGGAAAACUGGGAUCACCUGAUU